Molecule: transfer RNA, 77 nt
Filed under: Moraxellaceae bacterium
Lineage: Bacteria; Pseudomonadati; Pseudomonadota; Gammaproteobacteria; Moraxellales; Moraxellaceae
Also listed under: 3 other names
Description: tRNA-Met
Rfam family: tRNA
About the family: Transfer RNA (tRNA) molecules are approximately 80 nucleotides in length. Their secondary structure includes four short double-helical elements and three loops (D, anti-codon, and T loops).
Source: RNAcentral
GGCUAGGUAGCUCAGCCGGUUAGAGCACGGCACUCAUAAUGCCGGGGUCGCGAGUUCGAGUCUCGCUCUAGCCACCA